GGGACACGUGGUAUCCUGUCUGAAUAUGGGGGGACCAUCCUCCAAGGCUAAAUACUCCUGACUGACCGAUAGUGAACCAGUACCGUGAGGGAAAGGCGAAAAGAACCCCGGCGAGGGGAGUGAAAAAGAACCUGAAACCGUGUACGUACAAGCAGUGGGAGCCUCUUUAUGGGGUGACUGCGUACCUUUUGUAUAAUGGGUCAGCGACUUAUAUUCUGUAGCAAGGUUAACCGAAUAGGGGAGCCGAAGGGAAACCGAGUCUUAACUGGGCGUUAAGUUGCAGGGUAUAGACCCGAAACCCGGUGAUCUAGCCAUGGGCAGGUUGAAGGUUGGGUAACACUAACUGGAGGACCGAACCGACUAAUGUUGAAAAAUUAGCGGAUGACUUGUGGCUGGGGGUGAAAGGCCAAUCAAACCGGGAGAUAGCUGGUUCUCCCCGAAAGCUAUUUAGGUAGCGCCUCGUGAAUUCAUCUCCGGGGGUAGAGCACUGUUUCGGCAAGGGGGUCAUCCCGACUUACCAACCCGAUGCAAACUGCGAAUACCGGAGAAUGUUAUCACGGGAGACACACGGCGGGUGCUAACGUCCGUCGUGAAGAGGGAAACAACCCAGACCGCCAGCUAAGGUCCCAAAGUCAUGGUUAAGUGGGAAACGAUGUGGGAAGGCCCAGACAGCCAGGAUGUUGGCUUAGAAGCAGCCAUCAUUUAAAGAAAGCGUAAUAGCUCACUGGUCGAGUCGGCCUGCGCGGAAGAUGUAACGGGGCUAAACCAU
RNAcentral lists this ribosomal RNA (769 nucleotides) under Escherichia coli. RNAcentral's name for it is "partial 23S ribosomal RNA". It matches the Rfam family "Bacterial large subunit ribosomal RNA", at positions 419 to 1190 of the family's 2925-position model. The record is from RNAcentral. Lineage: Bacteria; Pseudomonadati; Pseudomonadota; Gammaproteobacteria; Enterobacterales; Enterobacteriaceae.